RNAcentral lists this long non-coding RNA (419 nucleotides) under Theobroma cacao (cacao). Its description in RNAcentral is "long non-coding RNA (TCAC_LNC003801)". Lineage: Eukaryota; Viridiplantae; Streptophyta; Magnoliopsida; Malvales; Malvaceae. The record is from RNAcentral.
AUCAACUUGGCUUAUGAAUUUCUUAAAACUUUGGCUCGUGCCAAAACUCAUACUCCGUGAUACCUUGAGCAGUGCAUCCAACCGAGUCCGCCAAGGCUGUUAAAAUUUUUUUAUACACUUAAAAUAUAUUUUUAGUUUGAGAAAAAUACAGCUGUUCCUUAGCGUUGGCUGAGUUCCCCUUCACGUGGUGGUUUGGCGUGAAGUGAACCCUAAGCUUUACCCCAAGAGAUACCCUACACGCCUCUCCGUUCGAGGUAAGAAUAUAAUGGAGUUUACCGUGCCCCUCUAAUAGGUUGAUCCACGGAACCCCCUCUGCAGUGAAUAAUUAAUAUAUAAUUCACCAAUCAAUAAAAUUCAUUCUAGCAUGACAUGGCAAUUUAUCGCAACCUAGCCUCUCAAGGCUGAAUACACAGUAUAAA